Homo sapiens (human) is the source of this 1358-nucleotide long non-coding RNA. Ensembl annotates it as long intergenic non-protein coding RNA 1203. NCBI's taxonomy places the organism in Eukaryota, Metazoa, Chordata, Mammalia, Primates, Hominidae. The record is from Ensembl.
UUUUUUUUUUUUUUUUUGACAGAGUCUCGCUUUGUCACCCAGGCUGGAGUGCAGUGGGGUGAUCUCGGCUCACUGCAGCCUCCACCUCCCAGGUUCAAGCGAUUCUCGUGCCUCUGCAUCCUGAAUAGCUGGGAUUACAGGUGUGCACCACCACAUCCUGCUGAUUUUUGUAUUUUGAGAGAUGGGGUUUUGGCACGUUGGCCAAGCUGGUCUCGAACUCCUGGCUUCAAGCAGUCCACCCACCUUGGCCUCCCAAAGUGCUGGAAUUACAGGCGUGCACCACCACGCCCGGCCAGAUCUUCAUAUAUCUAAGAUCCUGUCAAGAAGACAUGGUAAACCUCAUCAUGAUCAAGAAUGAGACUUUGCUUGCAUCCAGGCUUCCCAAAAGUUGUUUGAUAGUAUACAGGCAUGAGAUGGUGUGACUCUAACUCAUUAGAUGCCUUCGUCUUUUCAGUCAUCAUGUGAUGGAAAGAAAGCUAUCAACUUCAUUCCUGAGACUUCCUGCAACACAGCUUAGUAUGUCUAGCAUGGGCAUGCCUGCUGAAGUUUGGAACUUCCCAUCAAGGAAACAGGAAAAUGCCAUUGGCAAUGAGCUGAAGACUGAUUUACUCUACCAGCUCUAUCACCAGGAAGUCAAAGUAAAACUCCACCACUGAACUCUUGAAAGGCGUGUCUUCUGAAGGGUAGGAUUUCCCAUCAAAGAAACAGGAAAAUGCCAUUGGCAAUGAGCUGAAGACUGACUUUGAUUUACCCUACCAAGCAUGAUUUUAAUGACUACUUGUACAAACAUUUUGGAACAUCUGUUAUUGCUGCUACUACGGUUUCUAUCACUGUUUGAUGCUGGGACUCUUAAGCUCCAACCACGUUUUCACCGAGCUGAGUCGCCUUCUUAUCACCCCUUUCUGGAGCAGCAGGACAUCUGGGGAUGAGAAGAUGGAGAGAUCAUCCUUAUAUAAUGUUGCAGUCUGGAAGCAUCACUCUCAAAAAGCCAUUGUAGAGAAUCCAAGCCGAGUUUAAGAGUGCUGUGGAAAUACACUGCUGCUACUGCUGUUUCUAUUACUGUUUGAUGCUGGGACUCUUAUGCUCCAACCACGUUUUCACCCAGCUGAGUCGCCUUCGUAUCACGCCUUUCCAGUUCAACAAAGUGUGGACAGCUGUGCAGAAAUAUGAUUGGACAAAAAUGUUGUGAUCUAAAGCUAAUGGACUGAGUGUGGAAACCCAACAAGGCCUGUCUGUCUAGAUUCUUCUUGGCCUCUCUGAGCAGCGUUCCUUCCUUCUGGGUGUAAGGCAAGACCCUCUCUGGAGUGGGGGUGUUAUGACCUACAGUCAAACAAGAGAAAUAAAGUUCAUCACAGUGA